GAUGAAGAACGCAGCGAAAUGUGAUAAGUAAUGUGAAUUGCAGAAUUCAGUGAAUCAUCGAAUCUUUGAACGCACAUUGCGCCCGUUAGCAUUCUAGCGGGCAUGCCUGUCCGAGCGUCAUUUCAACCCUCAGGGUCCCCGUUCCGGCGGGGAACCUGGUGUUGGGGAUCGGCCCGCCCCGUGCGGCGCCGUCCCCCAAAUUCAGUGGCGGUCUCGCUGCAGCCUCCCCUGCGUAGUAGUUACAACCUCGCAUCGGAGCUCAGCGCGGCUACGCCGUAAAACCCCCGACUUUCUGAACGUUGACCUCGGAUCAGGUAGGAAUACCCGCUGAACUUAAGCAUAUCAAUAAGCGGAGGA
RNAcentral lists this unclassified non-coding RNA (357 nucleotides) under soil metagenome. RNAcentral's name for it is "partial contains 5.8S ribosomal RNA, internal transcribed spacer 2, and large subunit ribosomal RNA". The stretch from base 1 to 120 matches the Rfam family "5.8S ribosomal RNA", at positions 35 to 154 of the family's 154-position model. The record is from RNAcentral.